RNAcentral lists this ribosomal RNA (463 nucleotides) under uncultured bacterium. RNAcentral's name for it is "partial 16S ribosomal RNA". It matches the Rfam family "Bacterial small subunit ribosomal RNA", at positions 28 to 507 of the family's 1533-position model. The record is from RNAcentral.
GAUGAACGCUGACAGAAUGCUUAACACAUGCAAGUCUUUGGCGAAGCUGUGCUUGCACAGCCUAGCCAAGGCGGACGGGUGAGUAACGCGUAAGGAACUUGCCCUGCAGUCAGGGAUAACAGACGGAAACGACUGAUAAGACCUGGUAAAGUCAGGCGGACUCAUGUCCAGCCUGAUGAAAAGAGAUGCUGCAGGAGAGCCUUGCGUCCUAUUAGCUUGUUGGUGGGGUAACGGCCCACCAAGGCGAUGAUAGGUAGCCGGCCUGAGAGGGUGGACGGCCACAAGGGGACUGAGAUACGGCCCUUACUCCUACGGGAGGCAGCAGUGGGGAAUAUUGGACAAUGGGGGCAACCAUGAUCCAGCAAUUCUGUGUGCACGAUGAAGGUUUUCGGAUUGUAAAGUGCUUUCAGCAGGGAAGAAAAAAAUGACGGUACCUGCAGAAGAAGCGACGGCUAAAUACGUG